This is a non-coding RNA of Podarcis lilfordi (Lilford's wall lizard), 69 nucleotides long. Lineage: Eukaryota; Metazoa; Chordata; Lepidosauria; Squamata; Lacertidae. The record is from the annotation of a GenBank genome assembly.
GCUGUGGCUCGGUGGUACAUUAUCUGCUGUGCAUGCAGAAGGUCCCAGGUUCAAUCCCUGUCAUCUCCA